UCUUCCCGCAACCCAUGUUCGAAUCCUGGUAUGGCCUGGCCGUAUAGUGUAGUGGUUUAGCACUCGGGAUUUUGAUC
This 77-nucleotide transfer RNA is filed under the name Rhizoctonia solani AG-1 IB. RNAcentral's name for it is "tRNA-Gln". Lineage: Eukaryota; Fungi; Basidiomycota; Agaricomycetes; Cantharellales; Ceratobasidiaceae. The record is from RNAcentral.